UGUAUAAUGGGUCAGCGACUUAUAUUCUGUAGCAAGGUUAACCGAAUAGGGGAGCCGAAGGGAAACCGAGUCUUAACUGGGCGUUAAGUUGCAGGGUAUAGACCCGAAACCCGGUGAUCUAGCCAUGGGCAGGUUGAAGGUUGGGUAACACUAACUGGAGGACCGAACCGACUAAUGUUGAAAAAUUAGCGGAUGACUUGUGGCUGGGGGUGAAAGGCCAAUCAAACCGGGAGAUAGCUGGUUCUCCCCGAAAGCUAUUUAGGUAGCGCCUCGUGAAUUCAUCUCCGGGGGUAGAGCACUGUUUCGGCAAGGGGGUCAUCCCGACUUACCAACCCGAUGCAAACUGCGAAUACCGGAGAAUGUUAUCACGGGAGACACACGGCGGGUGCUAACGUCCGUCGUGAAGAGGGAAACAACCCAGACCGCCAGCUAAGGUCCCAAAGUCAUGGUUAAGUGGGAAACGAUGUGGGAAGGCCCAGACAGCCAGGAUGUUGGCUUAGAAGCAGCCAUCAUUUAAAGAAAGCGUAAUAGCUCACUGGUCGAGUCGGCCUGCGCGGAAGAUGUAACGGGGCUAAACCAUGCACCGAAGCUGCGGCAGCGACGCUGAUGCGUUGUUGGGUAGGGGAGCGUUCUGUAAGCCUGCGAAGGUGUGCUGUGAGGCAUGCUGGAGGUAUCAGAAGUGCGAAUGCUGACAUAAGUAACGAUAAAGCGGGUGAAAAGCCCGCUCGCCGGAAGACCAAGGGUUCCUGUCCAACGUUAAUCGGGGCAGGGUGAGUCGACCCCUAAGGCGAGGCCGAAAGGCGUAGUCGAUGGGAAACAGGUUAAUAUUCCUGUACUUGGUGUUACUGCGAAGGGGGGACGGAGAAGGCUAUGUUGGCCGGGCGACGGUUGUCCCGGUUUAAGCGUGUAGGCUGGUUUUCCAGGCAAAUCCGGAAAAUCAAGGCUGAGGCGUGAUGACGAGGCACUACGGUGCUGAAGCAACAAAUGCCCUGCUUCCAGGAAAAGCCUCUAAGCAUCAGGUAACAUCAAAUCGUACCCCAAACCGACACAGGUGGUCAGGUAGAGAAUACCAAGGCGCUUGAGAGAACUCGGGUGAAGGAACUAGGCAAAAUGGUGCCGUAACUUCGGGAGAAGGCACGCUGAUAUGUAGGUGAAGUCCCUCGCGGAUGGAGCUGAAAUCAGUCGAAGAUACCAGCUGGCUGCAACUGUUUAUUAAAAACACAGCACUGUGCAAACACGAAAGUGGACGUAUACGGUGUGACGCCUGCCCGGUGCCGGAAGGUUAAUUGAUGGGGUUAGCCGCAAGGCGAAGCUCUUGAUCGAAGCCCCGGUAAACGGCGGCCGUAACUAUAACGGUCCUAAGGUAGCGAAAUUCCUUGUCGGGU
Molecule: ribosomal RNA, 1385 nt
Filed under: Escherichia coli
Lineage: Bacteria; Pseudomonadati; Pseudomonadota; Gammaproteobacteria; Enterobacterales; Enterobacteriaceae
Description: partial 23S ribosomal RNA
Rfam family: Bacterial large subunit ribosomal RNA
Source: RNAcentral